GACAGAGGCCCCAAGCGUUAGGCGGAAUCACUGGGCUUAAAGCGUGUGUAGGCGGAUCGUUAAGUGUCUUGUGAAAUCCCACGGCUCACCCGUGGAACUGCUGGGCAUACUGGCGAUCUUGGGCCAACUAGGGGCAGUCGGAACAAGCGGUGGAGCGGUGAAAUGCGUAGAUAUCGCUUGGAACGCCGAAGGUGAAAACAGACUGCUGGGGUUGCGCCGACGCUGAGACACGAAAGCCAGGGGAGCAAACGGG
Molecule: ribosomal RNA, 253 nt
Filed under: uncultured bacterium
Lineage: Bacteria
Also listed under: 1 other name
Description: partial 16S ribosomal RNA
Rfam family: Bacterial small subunit ribosomal RNA
Source: RNAcentral